AAAAUAGCUAUUUCUGAGUGUUUUGGACAGAAGGGCUUGCCGUACGGGGGCGUGGCCACGCAGCCGCCGUCCGGCCGCCGUGGAUCACGUGCCGCCGGCGGCGGCGGCCCCUCCUGGACCGGUCGUGGCCCGGCCUGGGACUCCGAGCCUCAGCAGCGAGGUCGUGAAGAUGAGAAAAGAAGUGAAGAGAAUCCGAGUUUUUAUCUGAAAACUUGUCAGGAGUGUGAGCAGACUGGAGUCCAAAAAGGGCACUGAAGAUGCACUGUUAAAAAGCCAGAGACGAGCACGACGAUUGCUUGAAGAAAUCCCUGCCAUGAAGGCAGCGAAAUGUGUCGAAACAAGUCUGGGACUGGAAGCACGAACAGGCAGACAUGGGACACCGGUCGUGACCAAUCCCUCGGCCUGCUGGCUGUGGAACACCGCCUGGAGACACCAUGAGGACCUGUUGAAAGUGGUCCUUUGAAAUCCACAGGACACAGCAAGAAGAUGAAGGGCGCAUUACGUUUGAGUUUUAUUACCUCCGCCGACCGCACUUUGGUAGGAGGGACAUCUGAGUAGCCCCGUAGACAGAGACCAUGGCUAUUUGGGGCUGACUUGGGCUUGGGAUAGACAUGGCAAAAGAUGACAGAAAUUAGGACAAGAAGGUGAAGUUGGGUCUUUUGAUCAGAAUAAAUCUUAACUCAUUCCACCGUUACUUACAUCUUGUUCACAUGCUUUGCAUAGGUUCCAUGCCAUGUUCCCUGGCGUGAUGAAGGCUGAAGCAGAAAUAGGUUCUGCUGUCAAGGAGCUCAUAAUUUAGUAAUGAGUGUAAGGUUCACACACACAGAAAUAUCUAUAACACGAAGUACCGUGACCCAGUUCAACUCAGGCGCCUGCCGCCGGGGGAACAGAAACAAUUGCAGGACAAAGUUCCUCUGCCUUGUGAGGUCUCAGCCCUGGCAGCUUCCUCCCAUGUGGCCCUGGGAGCCUCCCGGAGAAACCUAGGUCCCUGGUCUCCUCCUUGGGCUCCGGCACUAUGGUCUCCGAUGGCCUCUCGGGACACAUUCCAGCAGCAGCUCUGCUCCCAGCACCCGCGGGAGGCCCCUCAAUAGAGUGCAUUCCUUGCUUUGGUCUGGAGCCGGGCCCACAGUGACUGUUCUGUUAGGAAGGUAGGGAUCCGGCUUUCUUUUCUUCUGCAUAAAGACAGGCCAACACUAUCUAGUGAGCAAUGAAUGGUUUUCUGAUGUGUUUGAACUCGAUUCUCGAAUAUACUGCAAUCUAUGCAUUUUGUAUUUUAUUUCUAAUCCGUAAACUUCCUAUUUUAUUUCAUUGAUCUCUUCAUUCAUUUUUAAUACUUCACAUGCACAAAGAAAGUCUCAAUAAAUUCCAAAAAAAUACAAAUGAUCUAUGUUAAGUACAAUGAAAAGCAAAACCAAGAAAUUACCAACUGCCCGCAGUAAUAAUACGAAAAAUUGCAUCAAAAAGAAAUCACAGUUUCAGUGACAAUAUUUAGAAAAUGGUAAUAAGAAUACCAGAUGAAAUUCAGUCAGAAUUGUCCCUAGAGAUAAAUUCAUAGCCUUCAACAUGUUCAUUAACUUUGAAAUGCAUUAAAAACUGCACAUUCAACUCAAGAAGUAAGAAAAUUGCAAAAACAAAACAAGAAGAAUUAAUAGAGAAAAUGAAAAAACAGAACUGGUAAAUCAAAGUGGUAUUUCUAUGGAAAAACAUCAAUAAAAGAACAAAUAUUUAUUCUAAAAAAGUGUAAGUGAAAAAGGAUACUAGGUGAUUGUUAGGCUCACUUGUCAUUCUUAACUGUUCUAGAAAGAAUUAACCAAGUCUUGCAUGAUACUUCCUCAUCAGGAGCACAACACUUAUUUUGAACAGUUCAUUGAUUCAUUUCUUUAUUAUAUCCAAGUACCAGGAAUGGUACAUGGCAUGUAGUCGGAGCCCAAAAAUCAAGGAGAUCUCAGGCAAAUGAGCCCCUCCAGUUGUUAUGCAGGGUGGCAAAUCCUGACCUCUUACGCAAUCUUUGCUGUUAAUAUUACAGACUGGUUAAUGCGGACAGAAAAUGUAAACAUCAGGGAGGAGAACGGACUGGAGAUGUAUCUCCAUUUCUGACAGAGGACGAUGGCUGUGCAGCGGGACAGCAGACACCUCAAGGCAGCGCCGGUGAGGCAGACCUACACGCCGGCCUAGACACAGGGCCGUGACAAGCGAAUUUAAAAAAAUUACCUUUGUUCACGUGCACACACCACAUACACACACAUAGAAUGAUUUUGUCUUACAUGUGCCUGCCUGUGAAUAUAAAAUAAUCAGGUCUGAAUUAAUUUAGGGCGAAUUCAGAAAGUACCUAACACCUCUUAAGAGUAGCUAUGUACUAGGCAACAGAUUGGGAGGGAGUAGUUUUUCCUUCAUUUCUUACUUUCCAUAACUAAACUUGAAAACAAGAAUGGGUGUGAUAGGUGAUCUUCAAAGAAAAGAACGAAACAGAAGUAGAUGGAGAUGGGUCAGCCUAGACGAACAGGGCCGAAGAGGAGGCGCUGCUGAGCCCCGGGAGCCCCCUCAGGCGUGUGCUGCUGACAGUCCCCCCUCCCCAGGCUCUCAGGAGGCAGCUUGGGCUGUCCAGGCCGCCCAGAGGUUGACUCACUCCGGACCCUCGGUCUCAAAGCCAGGUCCAAAGGCCUGUCAUCAGGAGAGUGGAGGAAACCAGAGCAGAGGACAGGCGGCAAGAGUGAGGCGUGGACCGGGGCUGGUGCCCUCUGGGCCGGAGGUGGAGGUCCCCGCCCUGCCAGGUCGGGAAGGCUCCUGCCAGCUCCUUCCAAGUGUCUCCAGGAAUCCUGGACUGGAAGAGAAGCAGCCUCUUGAUCAUGAGCGAACAUUAGCAAUUCCAGGCCUAAAACCGCACAGGCGGAUGGCCUUUUUUUUGGAGAAAUUCAGAAGCAAUCAAAAUUAAAUGAGAGUCUGUUUUUUUCUUUUAUGCUUUAAUGCCACAUUUAUCAUGGAGUUUUCAACACCAGAAGGCUCUUUUUUAGAAUUAGUUCUCCUCAAAGAGUAUCUUAAAAUAUCUCACAGCAGCAAAAAACAAAAAUAAACCCACACAUUCAGCAAUUAAGCUUUUUCAUCUCCUGGAAGAAACUGAAGAAAAUGAAAAUAAUAAUAUCUAUAAGGCUGCUUCUCUUCCCCAGCACAGCCUGGGUGGGAAGUGAGUAUGGCCCACACAGGGAUAAAUCUUUCGCUUCUGAAGGAGUCAGACUUAAUGGCUGGAUCGUGAGCUGGGAGCACUGCAAGGUCGGAGGUCACAUCUUGUCAGGCCCCCACUGUACCCCAGAAUCCUGCACAAGCAUGUCAUCGUAAUAUCUGCCAAUUAAAAGGAGUUUGGCAAACAGAGCAGAGCUUACCUGCAGAGGAGACAAGCUGCUGGACUCUGAGACUUAGCUAAUACGACCUCGAGCGUAGCACUUGACCUCUU
Molecule: long non-coding RNA, 3448 nt
Organism: Manis pentadactyla (Chinese pangolin)
Lineage: Eukaryota; Metazoa; Chordata; Mammalia; Pholidota; Manidae
Exons: 4
Source: RefSeq, a predicted model, not a curated record